CAGAGUUCAUGCCCUCACGGGUAGACCUCCCACCCUUGAAUAUUAUACCAUAGUUGCUUCGGCAGGCCGGGGCAACCCCCGGGGCUUCGGCCUUGGUGUGCCUGCCAGAGGAAAUAAACUCUGUUUUUAGUGAUGUCUGAGUACUAUAUAAUAGUUA
Molecule: unclassified non-coding RNA, 157 nt
Filed under: uncultured Naevala
Lineage: Eukaryota; Fungi; Ascomycota; Leotiomycetes; Helotiales; Dermateaceae
Source: RNAcentral